AUGAACGCUGGCGGCGUGCUUAACACAUGCAAGUCGAACGAACCUUCGGGUUAGUGGCGGACGGGUGAGUAACGCGUGGGAACCUGCCCUCAGGAGGGGGAUAACGGCUGGAAACGGCCGCUAAUACCCCAUAUGCCGAGAUGUGAAAUGAAAUUCGCCUGAGGAUGGGCCCGCGUCUGAUUAGCUAGUUGGUGGGGUAAAGGCCUACCAAGGCGACGAUCAGUAGCUGGUCUGAGAGGAUGAUCAGCCACACUGGGACUGAGACACGGCCCAGACUCCUACGGGAGGCAGCAGUGGGGAAUUUUCCGCAAUGGGCGAAAGCCUGACGGAGCAACGCCGCGUGAGGGAUGAAGGCCUCUGGGCUGUAAACCUCUUUUCUCAAGGAAGAAGACCUGACGGAACUUGAGGAAUAAGCC
Molecule: ribosomal RNA, 416 nt
Filed under: uncultured Synechococcus sp.
Lineage: Bacteria; Bacillati; Cyanobacteriota; Cyanophyceae; Synechococcales; Synechococcaceae
Description: bacterial SSU rRNA
Rfam family: Bacterial small subunit ribosomal RNA
Source: RNAcentral